CUGCAUAUCAAGCAUUUUGCAUUGUUGCUCGAUUAGAUUAACAUGAACAUAGUAUACAAUUUAUGUAAUAAAAAUUUUAAGUGCAUGACCCCCCGAGUGACUUAGUCGAAGUCAACAAUUUCAUGUUAGUGCGCGGAUACUAUAAAUAAAAACAAAUGAUAAAAAACAGAUAAGUCACCACAAGUUCACAAAGGGAAUUACGUCUACAAAUGAUAGUCACGAUGGUUAACGUUAAGGUAACGUUGAUCUGUGUUCUACUAGCUUUAAGUGUUGCCAGUGGUAAGGAAGUCGAAGACAAUCCAGAGGUACCAAAUUCGCAUCAUUCGAAUGAAGUAGGCAAAGAAGAGGUGGAUGGUUUGGCAGUGGUCACGCAGCCCAGCGGUGUACAAACGGUUUUUGACAAACUGCGGGGAAAUUGUAGGUGGAGGAUACCUCAGUGGUUAUAAAGUCAAACCUAUAUUCUAAUUACCUAAUAACGUCAAUUAAUUGACUAAAUGCAAGAUUCUCUGAUAAAUAAAAUAAAUAAAUAAAAUAAAAACAUACUCGAAAACAUAUCAGUGACUGUUUCCACAAACUUUGGUACAAAUCAAUGUCAGUUUGCUUAUGGUUUGGGGAGAGCCACGGGUGGGGUAUGGAAAACCUAAAAAAAUUAAAUACCAAAAGAGUUCCAUAAGUCUUUUAUUCCUAAACCUGAAAAGGAGGAUGGAGAAUGGAAAAGAACCUAGCACAGCAAAAUAGAAAAUAUUUAUUGGGUGCAUUAAAUUGUGACAGAACGUAAGCUCACGGAAUCAAAAUAUGAAAAUCUCUGAGGAAACACUAUCCCACAAACCUCUCCGAAACGAAACCAUUUUAAGGGGGGUUGUUUCCGAGUCCCGCACCUUGCGUGAGAGUGCGAGAGUAGCCGAUACGAUAAUCCAUUUUGGACAACUCAACCUGGACCCUGGAGCAGGUCAACGAGAGUAUCUUGGCCCAGAAUUUCGAUCCUGCUCCAAUAGACAUCAUUUCCUUAGGCACACGUGAUGUUCCGGUUUCGCCCGCGUGAACAGAGGACAUGCCACUGUAAAAAAAAAUCGAUAACGGUCACUUGAUUUGUAAACCCUUGUAAAAGGUGUUGUAAAAUUCAUACGUUAGAUGUCGCCUAUCGCCUUUCAAUCUGAAUCCCCAUCCAUUCUCUUGUUAUAC
Photinus pyralis (common eastern firefly) is the source of this 1182-nucleotide long non-coding RNA. RefSeq lists it as uncharacterized. The transcript has 3 exons. Lineage: Eukaryota; Metazoa; Arthropoda; Insecta; Coleoptera; Lampyridae. The record is from RefSeq and is a predicted model, not a curated record.